CCUACGGUGGGCAGCAGUGGGGAAUAUUGCACAAUGGCCGAAACCCUGAUGCAGCGACGCCGCGUGAGUGAAGAAGUACUUCGUUAUGUAAAGCUCUAUUAGCAGGGAAGAAAAUGACGGUACCUGACUAAGCAGCCCCGGCUAACUACGUGCCAGCAGCCGUGGUAAUACGCAGGGGGCAAGGGUUCUCCGGAUUGUAUGGGGGUAACGGGAGCGUAGUCGGCAGUGCAAGUCUGGAGUGAAAGGCGGGGGCUCAACCUCCGGACUGCUCUGGAAACUGUGCGGCUGGAGUGCAGGAGAGGUAAGUGGAAUGCGUGGUGUAGCGGUGAAAUGCGUAGAUAUUAGGAGGAACACCAGUGGCGAAGGCGGCUUACUGGACUGUAACUGACGUUGAGGCUCGAAAGCGUGGGGAGCAAACAGGAUUAGAUACCCGAGUAGUC
This 440-nucleotide ribosomal RNA is filed under the name uncultured bacterium. RNAcentral's name for it is "partial 16S ribosomal RNA". It matches the Rfam family "Bacterial small subunit ribosomal RNA", at positions 338 to 795 of the family's 1533-position model. The record is from RNAcentral.